This is a long non-coding RNA of Cavia porcellus (domestic guinea pig), 1271 nucleotides long. RefSeq lists it as uncharacterized. The record is from RefSeq and is a predicted model, not a curated record. NCBI's taxonomy places the organism in Eukaryota, Metazoa, Chordata, Mammalia, Rodentia, Caviidae. The transcript has 3 exons.
AGGGGUAGCUGCUAAAGGGAAGGAGCACACAACUGCACAAGAUUUGAAAGGGUUUAGUGCUCCUGCCAUUCUAGUUGUCAUAACACUAUUCUGAAAAAACAAGGUGAGGAUGAAACUCAGACUCUGAGACCAGCCCAUGUGAUUCUGAAGUCUGUGCUCUUCCCACAGGACCCUAUCAGAGUGGCAAAGGGUACCCAAACGGAGGGAAGUAAAUAUUUAGGGAGGAUCCACUAUGUGUUGAAGGUAUUCAUGGUCUCUGCUCUUGUGGAACCUCCAUAUCAACCAGAGCGACCAUCACUAAGCAGCCAGUCGCACAAUUUGUCUGCAGUCACAACGAAGAUAAAGGAUACAAAAAGGAAGAAAUGUUUAUCUGGGAGGUUGACCUAAUUUUCCAUGAUGGAGAGAGGUGAAUGAUUAGGGUCCUAACACUGUGGAGUGGAUGAACAGGGAGUGAGGAAAGAGGACCAAGGGACUUGAAUUCCUGGAAGGGAGGGCAUGUGGACUGGAACCUGAGCCAGGAAGCCUGACAGAGGAGGAAAAGCUGAGAGGAAAGGUUGGUAAGGGCAGUGGGCUGCAGAAAAGCUCUAGUGAGAGAAGUGAUAGGCGAACCUAGAGUCAACCAACGACCCCGAGGGACACCCCAAAGAUGUGGGUAAAAUCAUGCAAGUCCUAAGAUGGCAAUAUGUAAUCCAUUAACUAGUGAUUUCCUACUGUUCAUUUUUUUUUCUGUAAAUCUGUAUAACUUGUACCCUUUCACUGUUUUUUUUCUCUUUUCUCCUUAAAUAAAAAUUAAAAAAAAAUUAAAAAAAAUAAAAUCAUGCAAGUCAGAGGAGCUGGAAUUACAUAGCCUUACUUCUAAAAGAUAAUUCUUUUUUUUUUUUUUAUCGGUACCAGGGAUCAAACUCACGACCACACACUGUAAGGCAGGCGCUUAUGCCAUUGAGCUAAAUCCCCAGCCCCUAAAAGAUGAUUCUUACUUCUACGUGGAAUAAAGGAGGGAAGGUUGGAUCUGGAAUCAGGAGGUAACUGGGAGAGUAUGGGUGAAUGAUGAUUAAAGUUCAGACUAGGGCUGUUGGCAGCAAAAUUAAACAGAAGUGGCCGGGCUCAAGAAGUAGUUAGUAGGUAAAAUCUCUAGAAUUUAAUGACCAGUUUCAUGAAGGGGUGAAAAAGGGAAAUCUUAAAGUGAUUAUUGGGUUUCUGGCUGGUGCAGCAAUUCACAGAAUCAGGGAACACCAAGGAGGAGCAAGAACAAGAAGAAAAAAUUGGAACAU